Molecule: long non-coding RNA, 437 nt
Organism: Carassius auratus (goldfish)
Lineage: Eukaryota; Metazoa; Chordata; Actinopteri; Cypriniformes; Cyprinidae
Exons: 3
Source: RefSeq, a predicted model, not a curated record
GUGUCCAUCGAGAGAAUAUAUGCAGUGAAUAUGGUAUAUAAACACACUGUAAUGUUUUCUUUCACUUAAGUCUGUGUGUCUUUAGCUGUUUCAGGUUCAGGUCUGUCUUCAGCGGCUGUAGCAGGAAUUGUUGUUGGUGUUAUUGUUGUUCUGCUGCUGCUGACUGUUGUAGCUGCUGUUAUUAAAUAUCGCAGCAGGAGCUCCAGAAAUACAGUCAAGGAGAAAAACUCCAAUAAAGGAUUACUGCAAAACAAUGAGGAGGUCCUAAAAGUGUGAUUAUGAAACAAGAAAAAACUGCUUACCUGUAAAACAUAUUGCACUACUGUACCUUGAUCAAACACUGAUUGUAACACUGGACACACUAAUUUUAAGGCAAUAAGUGCACCUUUUUAGCUUUAAGAGUGUAACAUCAUAGUUGUGUUGUGUUUUGGUGUGGU